Molecule: ribosomal RNA, 440 nt
Filed under: uncultured bacterium
Lineage: Bacteria
Description: partial 16S ribosomal RNA
Rfam family: Bacterial small subunit ribosomal RNA
Source: RNAcentral
CCUACGGGAGGCAGCAGUAGGGAAUAUUGCUCAAUGGGGGAAACCCUGAAGCAGCAACGCCGCGUGGAGGAUGAAGGUUUUCGGAUUGUAAACUCCUUUUGUUAGAGAAGAUAAUGACGGUAUCUAACGAAUAAGCACCGGCUAACUCCGGGCCAGCAGCCGCGGUAAUACGGAGGGUGCAAGCGUUACGCGGAAUCACUGGGCGUAAAGAGCGCGUAGGCGGGAUAGCAAGUCAGAUGUGAAAUCCUAUGGCUUAACCAUAGAACUGCAUUUGAAACUGUUAUUCUAGAGUAUGGGAGAGGUAGGUGGAAUUCGUGGUGUAGGGGUAAAAUCCGUAGAGAUCAAGAGGAAUACUCAUUGCGAAGGCGACCUGCUGGAACAUAACUGACGCUGAUGCGCGAAAGCGUGGGGAGCAAACAGGAUUAGAUACCCGUGUAGUC